UACGGAGGGUGCAAGCGUUGUUCGGAAUCAUUGGGCGUAAAGCGCGUGUAGGUGGCUUGGCAAGUCGGUUGUGAAAUCCCGGGGCCCAACCCCGGAACUGCAUUCGAAACUGCCUCGCUAGAGUCCAGGAGAGGAAGGCGGAAUUCCCGGUGUAGAGGUGAAAUUCGUAGAUAUCGGGAGGAACACCAGCGGCGAAGGCGGCCUUCUGGACGGUGACUGACACUGAGACGCGAAAGCGUGGGGAGCAAACAGG
This 253-nucleotide ribosomal RNA is filed under the name uncultured bacterium. RNAcentral describes it as "partial 16S ribosomal RNA". It matches the Rfam family "Bacterial small subunit ribosomal RNA", at positions 524 to 776 of the family's 1533-position model. The record is from RNAcentral.